RNAcentral lists this ribosomal RNA (525 nucleotides) under uncultured bacterium. Its description in RNAcentral is "bacterial SSU rRNA". It matches the Rfam family "Bacterial small subunit ribosomal RNA", at positions 8 to 524 of the family's 1533-position model. The record is from RNAcentral.
AGAGUUUGAUCAUGGCUCAGGACGAACGCUGGCGGCGUGCUUAAUACAUGCAAGUCGAGCGAGGUUACUGUUUUGGAUCCCUUCGGGGUGAAGAAGCUUUAACCUAGCGGCGGACGGGUGAGUAACGCGUGGGUAACCUACCCCAAAGUCCGGGAUAACAGCGGGAAACCGCUGCUAAUACCGGAUGUCUUUACCUUGGGGCAUCUUGAGGUAAAGAAAGGUAACGCUUUGGGAUGGGCCCGCGUCCCAUUAGCUAGUUGGUGAGGUAACGGCUCACCAAGGCGACGAUGGGUAGCCGGCCUGAGAGGGUGGACGGCCACACUGGGACUGAGACACGGCCCAGACUCCUACGGGAGGCAGCAGUAGGGAAUAUUGCGCAAUGGACGGAAGUCUGACGCAGCGACGCCGCGUGAGCGAUGAAGGUCUUCGGAUCGUAAAGCUCUGUCCUUGGGGAAGAAGGUCUUCGGACUUGACGGUACCCAAGAAGAAAGCCCCGGCUAACUACGUGCCAGCAGCCGCGGUAAU